RNAcentral lists this non-coding RNA (104 nucleotides) under Oleidesulfovibrio alaskensis. Its description in RNAcentral is "Desulfovibrio alaskensis TPP sequence". It matches the Rfam family "TPP riboswitch aptamer (THI element)". Rfam says of the family: Vitamin B(1) in its active form thiamin pyrophosphate (TPP) is an essential coenzyme that is synthesised by coupling of pyrimidine and thiazole moieties in bacteria. The record is from RNAcentral. RNAcentral also lists the same sequence under 1 other name. Lineage: Bacteria; Pseudomonadati; Thermodesulfobacteriota; Desulfovibrionia; Desulfovibrionales; Desulfovibrionaceae.
UCAAACAGCUAGGGGUGCCCGUACGGGCUGAGAUUGAAACAGGUGUUUCUGACCCUUGGAACCUGAUGCGGGUAACCGCCGUAGGGAAGCUGGCAGACAUAUCA